Molecule: ribosomal RNA, 1158 nt
Filed under: Triticum aestivum (bread wheat)
Lineage: Eukaryota; Viridiplantae; Streptophyta; Magnoliopsida; Poales; Poaceae
Description: partial small subunit ribosomal RNA
Source: RNAcentral
AUGUCGCCGCGUACCACGUUCACGUUGCAGCUGCUCCUUGUCCUGGUGGUUGUGGGCUUGGCCUUGGCCGCAACCACCACGGCCGCUCCUGCGGUCCUCGGCGGAGGAAAGCACCACCGCGGCGUCCUCAGCACCCCCGUCCGCCGGCUCAAGCCGGACGUGCGGGUGUCUAAGCUCGGCGGCGGUGGCGGCGGCGCCGGCGCUGUCACCGUCACCUCCGUCGGCGAGGCGUUGAGUCUCUGGAAGAAUCUGACAGGAGCGCACUUCGUCAUCUACCUGACCGCAGGCACCUACGAAGAGCACAUCGUCGUACCAGAAAGGUGCAGCAACGUGGUGCUUAUCGGCGAUGGCGUCGGCCGUACCAUCAUCACCGGAGCCCUGUCCGAUAGGACAGGGCACAACGUGAUGCAAUCGGCCACAAUGAGUGUGUUUGCUAAGGGUUUCAUGGCUCGGGACGUGACGAUUCAAAACACGGCGGGCGGGCCAGGCAUCAACCAGGCCGUGGCUCUCCGGGUCCAGGCUGACCGAACCGUGUUCUACCGGUGCCAGAUACACGGGUAUCAGGACACCCUCAUGGCCGAAUCGCACCUGCAGUUCUACCGUGAGUGUGAAAUAUCAGGCACCGUAGACUUUAUUUUCGGGGAUGCGACAGCCGUGUUUCAGGACUGCAUCGUCUUCGCACGCCGGCCGGCCGACGGCAAACACGACGUCAUCACCGCUCAAGGCCGCGGAGCACAUCUCGGUGGUUCUGGGUUCGUGCUGCAGAACUGCAGCAUCACCACGGCGCCAGGGGAGAGCCUCAACGGCGUCCAGACCUACCUCGGCCGUCCUUGGAACGACCACGCAACCGUGGUGUACAUGUUAUGCACCAUCGACGACAUCAUCCACGCGGACGGAUGGGUGGCUUGGAACAAGACCAACCCCAAGGAACGCGUCAAAGGCGGCGUCAAGCCCGGCCACGAGGGGCAUAUCUUCUACGGUGAGUUCGCGAACCACGGCGCCGGCGCCAAUGUCGACCACCGCGUCGACUGGCAUGGGUUUCAUCGCCUCAACGAGGCACAGGCUAGGCUGUAUGCGCCGGGGAGGUUCAUCCAGGGAGGCGCCUGGCUUCCCCAGACAGGGGUCCCACAUUACCUUGGCCUCCGUGAUGGUGAGUAG